GCUGGGCGUUGUGGCAGGUGCCUGUGGUCCCAGCUACUUGGGAGGCAGAGGCAGGAGACUCGCUUGAGCCCAGGAGUUGGAGGUUGCUGUGAGCUGUGAUGCCACAGCACUCUACCCAGGGGGACAGCUUGAGGCUCUGUCUCAAAAAACAACAACAAAAACAAAAAAUGGUAAAAUAAGGAUAUAUAUUAAUAGUAAUAAAUUAUUUAAUAAUUAUGCUUUAGAAUAACUGGGAUUUUUUUUUUUUUUUUUUUUUUGAGACAGAGCCUCAAGCUGUCCCCCUGGGUAGAGUGCCGUGGCAUUACAGCUCACAGCAACCUCCAACUCCAGGGCUCAAGCAAGUCUCCUGCCUCUG
Molecule: non-coding RNA, 355 nt
Organism: Otolemur garnettii (small-eared galago)
Lineage: Eukaryota; Metazoa; Chordata; Mammalia; Primates; Galagidae
Source: Rfam